UAUUGUGAGUAUUACUGAGAACAAGAUC
This 28-nucleotide small RNA is filed under the name Bombyx mori (domestic silkworm). RNAcentral describes it as "ovarian small RNA-24284". The record is from RNAcentral. Lineage: Eukaryota; Metazoa; Arthropoda; Insecta; Lepidoptera; Bombycidae.